UGCCAAAUGGAGCUCAAAACGAGAGAGAUAGAGAGUGAGUUACUGACUCGGGUCACGGACAGUGGUUUUGACAGUGUAGCCACGUUGAAGCAAAAGCUUAACUAGCCAUGAAGCUAUGUAACCUGACCCUCCCGUGACACACACCACCUUGCCGUCCCCACCUCUGCUCAUCCUCUCUGUGGCAGUGGCGACUGCCCGGUAACUGACAAGAGAGCUUAUUCCUUCGUAGAAUGUUAAUAGGUGAAGCAAAACUUCAGAACAUGCUCUUUUUUUGGAUGCACUUUAUCCUUAGAGCAGUCAAUGAGUUUAAUUUUCAAGCACAUCAUUUCGACGGCUGAGACCAUCUUCCCGGAAGCUCACAUCUUUUCUGUAUCUUCAACAUAACCUAACAGUCUGCGAUAAUUUAUUGUUUUUGGUUCUCUCUUCAGUCAUUCUCUUGGACUGGGUAAACAAUAUAGCAGCAUUGAAAAAUCAAAGCUUGUGCAAGCUAUCACCCUCCCCAUCAGGGGCGGAGCUUCCAAUAGUUGACAAUGGAGGCCAAAAUUAAUAUAAUAGGUUAUAUUAUUAAAAAAACUAAUUUAUUUAAAAUAAAAAAAUACUAUAUUCCAUAUUUAAAUACUAAAUAAUAAAAAAAUUUAAAAUAUUUUACUGGCCGAUCCUGCUUGCCUCCCCUAGAUCCGCCCCUGCUCUCCAUGGUUGCUUGGACCAGUCAAAGGAGAUAAGGAGAAUGCGAUGGCUUGCGUGCAUGGCACAUAUUUGUCUGUUUAUAUGCUUGGACCAAUCUGUUUAUAUGGUUAUUGAGAUUUGAGAAUAUUUAAACUGAAAUAAAAAUUUAUAAUAAUAUUUAAGAACUAUAUUAAAAUUAAAAAAUAAAUGAAUCCAGUAAAUUUUACGUGGGGUUGUAAAAAAACAAAACAAAGAGGUAGGCCCUAACUCUUGGCCCACCAGCACAUGACGCUUGACCUUGUUUUAUUUUUCUGAAAAAUUGCGACGGAGAAUAUCUAGUCUAUUAUUAUUAUCACAAUUUCGAAAAAAAAAAAAAGACACCCUCGCGCUAGUGAUCCAUUGCUUGACACUGCCUCACCAACCGACCGAGCUGAGACUAGAAUUUAUUAUAAAAUGAAUAAAAAAACAUAUUAAGGAUUCAUGUUGUUUUAUUGUUUGAUGGUUAUUUAUUUGCUUCAGACAAACAAGUUUUCGUGAAUCAUAAUAUAAUUGAGUUGCAAAAUCACUUCAUCACAGCAAACAAGGCAAACUAAGCUCCUGACCUGACAAGAAAUGGGCUUGAAACACACAUAUUCUACAAAUUAUGCUUGAUUUAUUUUCAGGAUGCAUAUAAAGUUAUACCGCUAGUAGCUAUAGGAUCAACUCAUUAUGAAAUAGAUGUAAAAACCCUGAGGAGUUGUGUUUUGGAGGUGUUUUUAAUUCGUUUUUCCUGUGCUGUUGUUUUGACAUACCAAUUCCUGAUUUCAUAUUGCUGACCGAUGACUAACCUCCCACCUUAAACAUAAGGAAAAAUAAAAUAAAAUUUUGUUAUGUUUUUUUUUAAUUAAUAAUUUUUUUUAAAAAAUUAUCUUUUAAUAUUAAAUUUAUUUUUUAUUGGUUAUCCCAUUCUCAUUAUAUAUAUCGUGAAUUUAAUAGGUUAACUCAUUUUUUUUCUUAAUUAGCUUUUCUCCCUCCAAUUUUAUCUUUUAAUUUUGAGUUGAUGGAGAAUUAGGCUUCAAGACUUGUUUUGUUUGUUUUUUAUUAGGUUAUUUUAGCCUCGUAACUCAAAAAUAUUGCUUAAUGGGUUCACCUGAGUUUACUCGGGUUAUUUUUUAUGUCAUCUUAUAUAUAUAUAUAUAUUAAUUUCAUCAUUUAACAUUGGGUCGGUUAGUAACCAAGUUUCAUAAUCUAUCUCAAUUUGCUUUAUAUAAGGAUAUCUUAGUCUAAUGAUCAAUGUCAUAGGUUUUGGUAUUUUUACCCUUGUUAAAUCAAAUUGUUUUGUUUUUGUUUUUUCUAAGAGGUUAUCUCGGUCUCAUAACCUAGAUCACAAGUUUUUCAACAUUGAAUUUGCUUUUUAUUGGGUUGUCUUCAUCUCAUGACCCAUGUCAUAAGUUUGAUGAGUUAACCAAAUUGACUCAAUUUGUUUUUAUUUUUUUAAUUGACUCUUUUCCCCCCAAUCUCAUCAUUUAAUAUUGUGUUUGAUUGGGAAUUAGGCUUUAUCAUUUAUUUUGGUUUGCUUUUUAUUAGAUUAUCCUUACCCCAUGACCCGAGAAUAAUGCUUAACGAGUUAAUCUGUGUUGAUUUGGUUUAAUUUUUUUAGGUAUUUUUAAUUAAUUUUUUUACAAAUUUAAUCAUUCAACAUUGAAUCUAACAGAGUUACUUGAGAAUUAAGUUUUAUAUAUUUUUUUUAUAAUUUGCUUUAUAUAAAGUUAUAUCAGUCUUAUGAUCAAAAUCACAGAUUUGAUAGGUUAACUCAAGUUACUUUUUAGGUCUUUAAUAUAUAUAUAUAUAUAUAUAUAUAUAUAUAUAUUAAUUUUAUCUUUUAAUAUUGGAUUGAUUGAAAAUUAAACUUUAUAAUUUAUUUUAAUUCACUUUUUAUAAGAUCAUUAUAAUCUCAUAACUCUAGUAAUGAAUUUGAUAUGUUAACUUGAGUUAUUCAAAUCAAUUCAAUAUGUUUUUUUAUUUUAAUAUUAAAAAAAUAUAUCAUCCUAAAUUUUUUUAAUUAAAUUAUAUUUUCAUAUCUUUAGACAUGCAAAGUCAACCCGAACACAAUUUAAUUUUUUUUCACUAGAAAAAAAACAUUAAUAAUAUCUAAAUAUUUAUUUUAUGUUAAAGAAAUUUUUGACCCACCUACAAUGUAAUACAAGUUAACAAUCUAAGUAGGAUUUAAAUUUGAAAGACAAAAUAUAAGGAAUUGACAUAAAAAUUAAAAUUUGCUUAGAGCAUGUUUAAUACUAUAAUAAUAUUUACUUUUCAAAAUAUUUUUUAUUUAAAAAUAUAUUAAAAUAAUAUUUUUUUAAAAUAUUUUUAAAAUCAACACAUCAAAACAAUAAAAAAUAAUAAUUUAAAAUAUAUUUUUUUAAAACAAAAAUUCAGACUUCCAAAAAGAUAAUUUCAACUAGAAAAUGUUGUUUUAGACGCCAGAGCUGGAAUUUAGACGCUAGAGCUGAUUAAGAGAGAAUUUAGACGCCAGAGAGAAUCCAUUCAAACACCAUUCAACCAUGUGGGUGCUCCUGCAAGCAAUUUGUGAAGCAUUGCUUGAGGUUAAAAUUUUUUCAGGAAUGAACAGACAAGAAUUGAGUUCCAAGAUUAUUCCAUCACAGAAGCAGCAGCGCAAAUUCAUUACAAGACUUCCAAAUCUUUACGAUGUCCUGACAUCUCAUUGACAGGAAAGAGACUUCAAAAAGCAAAUCCUACGAGUUAUACAUAAUUUUAUAUUCAGAUAUCCAGAAUGCACAUAAACUUAUAUCAUACUUUCACUAUGAUACUGUCAGGAGGAGGAGGAGGAGGAGAGUUAUUUAAUACGUGCUUUUUUUCCCAGAAGAUCUGCUAGAGGAGGGUUUCAAGUUUUAACCAAAAAAAUCUGAGAUACACUUUUCCACAGCUUUGGAAACUAGAAAAUGAUUGUUGAGGGCAAACACUGAAAAAAGUGACGAGUUACCCUGUUGUUUCAGUUGCUAAGCUACUCAAAUGAGCUGGGCUUUAUUUAUGAAAUCAACAAGAGCUCCCUAAAUUCAUAUAAACAGAGUGCUAUCACAAAUCAUAUUUUAAGAAAAGCCUAAAAUAAUGCACUUAUGGUGAGCUCCAACACACGCAGUCUACAUAAACAAAACAGAGAACACUUGAGAUGAGCAAGUCUCUGUCAAAAUUAAAUUUGACAGAAACUGAGAGGACCAGUAUAUUUACUGGAACACCAUACCGUUAAAUAUACCCUCAAUCAGAUUUUGAGAAAGCCCUUCUCCUUCAAGCUCUCAAUAGUGUCUACGAGAGACAUAUCAAGUGGAGUGAAGUUGAUACCCAAAGUUUUUGCUUUCUCUUUGGACACCUGGUAUGGCUUGAACCUGCUUUCUGUACUUCUGCAACAGUUGAAAAACAAUAUACUGGUGCUAAGUUCUGUGACGGGUCAAAGCAAUUGCUUCUAGAAAACAAGCCAGCACAAGCGAAAAAAGGAUAACCAUCCAACUACAAUACAGAAAAAAAGGUACAGGGUUUGCUUGUGAUUACACAUUUUUGGUUUUCAAAAUGUAGCUCUACCUUCAACUUUACCGGUUGUCCUCGAAGGGACUGGCUCUACUUUCAUGUUCAAAACAUACUUGUAUUUUUAAUAUUUGUUCUUUUCAUGGUUUAGUUUCUAAAACAGGGAAAGCAUAAGAUGGUUCUUAACAUAUUUCUUAUAACUAAUCUAAACUGCUGUUCUGAAUUGGUGGCAUAACUUCAGAAUUACUAUUAACAAGUAGCAUUCCCCUCCCCUCCCCGCCCAAGCUGGCUUGAAUGUGAAAUCUUCUCUACAAGCCCAUUGGCUAUCAAAUAUCAACCAUCCAGAUUAAUCAACAAGGCCACAUUAACAUGAAAAUGGUUCAAUUUGAACAUUUUAAAUGACUCACUUUUCAGGAAGGCGCAAAGUAGGAUAGUUUUCACGGAUGAUCUUCAGAACCUCAGAAAAGGUUAUGACAUUUGCUGACAAACCAUAUCUGCCACUAGCUGAAGGAAUUUCAAAAGCUUGUAUGUGUGCAUUUGCAACGUCUCUAACAUCGAUGCACGUAUAAUAUCCAUCUGGGUAUGUCUCAGCUCCUGCACCAAAAACAGAUUACAUCAUGCGAACCAAACAAAACAUGCAGCCAGUAAGGACACUAACAGUUCAAGGGAAAGUUCUUUAAACAGCUAUUAAGGACAGGUUCAAAAUUUGGUAGUCAAUAUAUUGAUAAUAUAAUCAUUGUUAAAGUGAUUUGCAGGAGAAGAUGUACAAUAUGCUUCCGGGUGGAAACUGAAUGCAUCUGCCACAAUUCACAAUCCUAUAUGUAAGAGAAUUUUAGCUUAGUAGGGUGAUGUUUUGGCACAUCUAUAUCGAACUUGUAAUGAAAUGCAACUAUCACACAUCAGUAAAGCCUCAAUGGAAUGACAAGAUCACAUGGGAUAAUUUCUCAAGAAAGCAACUCAUACUCAAAACAAAAGAUCGUGAAAUGACAACUGAGGGAUAACUUGCUCUAUCAGUUGGAGGUGUAGAGGCCUUCUAUUUAGAUUUUUCCCAUACUGGAAGGUUGCUACAGGGAUUUUAAUGUUAGAUGGAGAGAGUAUUAAAUGCUUCAGAUACAAGCAAAAAGUUGCUGAAGAUCAUUACCAUUGACAAGGUCGAGAAUCAUCUCCACACUGAAAUUAAGAGUUGGCUGUAAAAGAGGGCCAAUCACAAAUGAUGGAUGCACUGUAACCAAGUCAGUAGCAUUCUCUUUUGCAAAAUUCCAAGCAGCCUCCUCAGCUAAGGUUUUUGAAAGUGCAUACCAAGCCUGGGAAAGAACACAAAUUCACAUUAGCAAAUAAUAGGUGAAGAACAAUACAGGAGACAAGAUGAAAGAAUGAAAGAUUUAGUUUUUAGCUUACUGAGCAAGCCCCAAAGGGUCCUCCAUGUGGAAUUUGAAAAGAAUGCAACUAAAAAUUCCUCUAGAAGGAAAAGAAAACCCUAAGAUAUCAUCAAAUAAUACACACCUUCAAUUCCUUACAAAUAGCUGGAUCUGAAUGCCAGGUCUCGUCAAUAACCACAUCAUGGUUCAGAGGCUUUCCACUAUAUAUACAUGCUGCGGUUGAAGAGGUUAAAACCACUCUCCUGAUAGAAUGAACUUUUGCACAUGAUCUAAGAACAUUUAGUGUUCCUUUCAAGGCAGGAUCAAUUAGGUCAACCUGUAACAAAGAAAAAAUUAUUGGAUUGUCUUUUUUUUUUUACCUUCCUACUCGUAGUUUUAAAACAGUAACACAUCAGGUAUCAAGAGGUUAAUUAAAAAAAAAAAAAACCCUAGUUUGAACAAGGGGGCAGGGUGUCCCGCUAGGAGUUGUUUGACGUGAUUCUCGAGACUUGAUGCUAAGAUUGGUGGCAAAUCAGAUGAAUCAGUGAUGAUAAAUGAUAAAUGGCAGCAGCAUAUACGAGGGAAGAACCUGUGGGUCGUCAUUGGGUGAAAAAGAAACAGGGGAAGCUGUAUGAAAAACACCUUCACAUCCAUCAACAACAGGAUCAAAAGCCCCUUCUUCCAAUAAAUUAGCCUUGAACAAAUGAAGUCUUUCUUUAGCUCCGUCAAGUGCAAGCAAGUGUUCUGUUUUCUUUGGAUCACCUGUAACAAAAUAAUAGGAGUACAUAAAAAAUAAACGUGACCAAAUAGAGCUCAAAAGGAGAGAGAUAGAGAGUGAGUUACUGACUCGGGUCACGGACAGUGGUUUUGACAGUGUAGCCAUGUUGAAGCAAAAGCUUAACUAGCCAUGAAGCUAUGUAACCUGACCCUCCCGUGACACACACCACCUUGCCGUCCCCACCUCUGCUCAUCGUCUCUGUGCCAGUGGCGACUGCCCGGUAACUGACAAGAGAGCGUAUUCCUUAGUAGAAUGUUAAUAGGUGAAGCAAAACUUUAGAACAUACUCUUACAAGGUAUUCUUGUAAAGCUGGUGGACCAAACACCUGGUAGAAACAAAGGGUGACGCUCUCUGCUCUAUCUUCGUCCAAUAAUAAAUAUUAUGUAUUUAUUUAAUGAUUUAUGGUUU
Molecule: long non-coding RNA, 6726 nt
Filed under: Populus tremula
Lineage: Eukaryota; Viridiplantae; Streptophyta; Magnoliopsida; Malpighiales; Salicaceae
Description: long non-coding RNA (PTRE_LNC002912)
Source: RNAcentral